RNAcentral lists this ribosomal RNA (253 nucleotides) under uncultured bacterium. RNAcentral describes it as "partial 16S ribosomal RNA". It matches the Rfam family "Bacterial small subunit ribosomal RNA", at positions 524 to 776 of the family's 1533-position model. The record is from RNAcentral.
UACGGGGGGAGCAAGCGUUGUUCGGAGUUACUGGGCGUAAAGCGUGCGUAGGCGGUGCCAUAAGUCUGUUGUGAAAUCUCCCGGCUUAACUGGGAGGGUGCGGUGGAAACUGUGGUGCUGGAGUGUGGGAGAGGUAGGCGGAAUUCCAGGUGUAGCGGUGAAAUGCGUAGAUAUCUGGAGGAACACCGGUGGCGAAGGCGGCAUCCUGGACCGGCAUUGACGCUGAGGCGCGAAAGCGUGGGGAGCAAACGGG